GAUGAAGAACGUAGCGAAAUGCGAUAAGUAAUGUGAAUUGCAGAAUUCAGUGAAUCAUCGAAUAUUUGAACGCACCUUGCGCCUUUUGGUAUUCCGAAAGGCACACCUGUUUGAGCGUCAUGAAUACCUCAAUCUCCAUCUUUUCUUCGGAUUGAUGGGUGACUUGGAUGUUGAGCCCUGCUGGUAUGCUAUAUCAGCUGGCUUUAAACUUAUUAGCCGGCUCUGUACUGGAUCGGUUUGACUCGACGUGAUAAUAUUAUCGUUGAGGAUGCAUGUCUCAUGCAGCCGGAAAGUAUCAAAGCAGCUUCUAGCUUGCCUUUAGUGCACUUUUACAUUUUAGACCUCAGAUCAGGUGGGACUACCCGCUGAACUUAAGCAUAUCAAUAAGCGGAGGA
Molecule: unclassified non-coding RNA, 395 nt
Filed under: soil metagenome
Description: partial contains 5.8S ribosomal RNA, internal transcribed spacer 2, and large subunit ribosomal RNA
Rfam family: 5.8S ribosomal RNA (bases 1-120)
Source: RNAcentral